UUAGAUAACUGGUAGAGAUAAUAUAGGUCCCUCCCCCCCCACUCCUGUGCACCAGUGGUAUCGCGAGAUCUGUUAAAUGUUAGCUACCAAGUAAGUGGACCCUUUGACUUUGCCACAUACCCUCUGCAGAUCCCCUCACUUUACAAAAUCUGCAGACGCAGGUUUGGACUUGGUGGAGAACGUCUGUGCAGCUGUCAGGAUCAUCAUCCGCCAGAUUCCCCCGUCACGAGUGCUGCGGGAGGUCAUUGAGAAGCCGUGACCACAAGAUGACCCUUGAGGUGGACUCAUUUCAUUUGUCCUGGUAUAAUGCCAUCAGUCAUCAUUUUGAAAUAGACUAAGCGUGAGUGAGGGAGGAGCAGAGAGAGAGGGAGACACAGAAUCCGAGACAGACUCCAGGCUCUAAGCUGUCAGCACAGAGCCCAACGCGGGGCUCGAACUCACGAACCGCGAGAUCAUGACCUGAGCUGAAAUCAAGAGUCAGAAGCUUAACCGACUGAGCCCCCCAGGCGCCCCUCAAAUGAGUUUCCAUAAAAGUAGGAAAGACUUUGGUCUGUUGUUGGUAAGCCAUAAACUAUUACUAGGCACCCAGUGCCUCGGCAUAACAGGCCUCUUCUGUUGUCUGCAUCAACCUGCCUUCCCUCAAAAGUUAUAAUUCAAUGAAUAUUCACUGCUCCGUUGUGUUCGUAUAACUGCUAGCCAAGUCAUUUCUUUUUUUUCUUUUUUUUUAAUGUUUAUUCAUUUUUGAGAGACAGAGUGAGACAGAGCAUGAGCGGGCGAGGGGCAGAGAGAGAGGGAGACACAGAAUCCGAAGCAGGCUCCAGGCUUCCAGCUGCCAGCACAGAGCCCGACGUGGGGCUCGAACUCAUGAACCAUCAGAUCAUGACCUGAGCUGAAGUCAGAGGCUUCCCCGACUGAGCCACCCAGGCACCCCAGGUCGUUUCUUGUUCUUGUCAUUCACUUUAUUUUAGAUGCUACCAUUCUUGAUGAUUUCAACUUAAAAGUAUGUCUCUCACUGAGUCCGCAUCUCUCUGCCUUUUACUCCCUCCUCGUUGUGUGCUUGCACACAUACACUUUUCCAUGUACACACACAUACACAACGCCCCCCCACUAAUGGCCCCCCUUCCCUCAAAACAGGAAAAAACGUCAGAAAUUUGUAGCUAAUGAUAAGUAGUCAUUAAUAGAGUUUUUUUUUUUUAUCCUUAUGCCUAAGGUUGCAAACAAAACAGAAUUGUUUUGAGAUUAAAACAA
Molecule: long non-coding RNA, 1248 nt
Organism: Acinonyx jubatus (cheetah)
Lineage: Eukaryota; Metazoa; Chordata; Mammalia; Carnivora; Felidae
Exons: 3
Source: RefSeq, a predicted model, not a curated record